AGCCUGUCCUGUUGUUCCAGCUGCAGGCCACUGAAGGACCCAGCUCAAGGCCUCCUGCCAGCCAGUGAAUCUGAGACCACAGCCCCAGCGCCCACCUGCAACCCACUCUUGUCCCCAGCUGCAAGGCACAGACAGACCCAGUGGCAGGCCUCUGGACAGCCAGUGAUUCUGAGGCAAGGACAUUAUUGCCAACUUAACUCUCCUGCAGACCCCAGUGCCAAUGACCACCCGCUAGCCUGUCCUGUUUCCGGCUGCAAGUCACUGACAAACCCAGCGCCAGGCCUCCUGCCAGCCAGUGAUUCUGAGGCAGGGACAUCACUGCCCACCUACCUCUCCUGCAGACCCCAGCCCUAGCGCUCACCCGCUACCCUGUCCUGUCCUGGCUGCAGGCCACAGAGAGACCCAGCAAUAGGCCUCUGGUCAGUCAUUGAUACUGAGGAAGGGACAUCACUGCCCAACUACCUCUCCUGCAGACUUCAACCCAAUCACCCACCCACUAGCCUGUCCUUUCCCCAGCUACAGGCCACAGACAGACCAGCGUCAGGCCUCUGGCCAGGCAGUAAUUCUGAGGCAAGUACAUCACUGCUCAGUUUCCUCUCCUGCAUACCCCAACACCAGCCCCCACCCAGUAGCCUCUCUUGUCCCCAGCUACAGGCCACAAACAGACCUAGCAGCAGGCCUCUGGACAGCCAGUGAUUCUGAGGCAGAGACAUCACUGUCCCCCUACCUCUCCAGAAUACCUCAGCCCCAAUGCCAACCUGCUACCCUGUCCUUUCCCCAGCUUCAGGACACAGACAGACUCAGUGGCAGUCCUCUGGCAAGUCAGUGAUUCUGAGGCAGGGACA
Molecule: long non-coding RNA, 845 nt
Organism: Tupaia belangeri chinensis (Chinese tree shrew)
Lineage: Eukaryota; Metazoa; Chordata; Mammalia; Scandentia; Tupaiidae
Exons: 3
Source: RefSeq, a predicted model, not a curated record